UUUAUGUUCCUAAAAUUGUAAAGAUUUGUUUUGGCUCAAAAUGUGAAAAUUUUCCCUAAAAAGGCGCUCGGGAAAAUCGGAGAUUCCCCAAAAAUCCUCCACAGUUAAAAUAAUUCCUAAAAAUUAUUCCAGACAUGCAAAUUUUGGGGAUCCCCAAAUUUUGGACGCCCCAAAUCCGCCCCCGUCACUUCGGUGCUGCCACGCCCCAAAUUCGGCGGAUUUUGCCCCAAAUUCGGCGGAUUUUGCCCCAAAUUGGGGCGUUACCUGCCUCAAGCCCCGCCCCCUCAGGUGUUGCUCCUCCCUCCAGGUGCGCCGCCUCCGUCCGGCCCCGCCCAGCCCCGCCCCCAGCCGCAGGGGCAGCCACGCCCACAAAUGGGAGGAGCUUCGCCCCGCCCCGCCCAGCCCGGCCCCGCCCAACCGCGAGGCCCCGCCCAGCCCCGCCCCCAAACCCCGCCCAGCCACGCCCAGCCACGCCCACAAACCCCGCCCAGCCCCGCCCAGCCCCGCCCACAAACCCCGCCCGGCUCCCAACAGCCACACCCACAGGCCACGCCCACCUCACAGCCACGCCCACCCAGCCCUCAGCCACGCCCACAAGCCCCGCCCACCUCCUCUCAGCCACGCCCACAGACCUCGCCCACGGCCACACCCCGCCCUCAAGCCCCGCCCACCGCCCAGCCACGCCCACCAGGCCCGGCCACGCCCCACCAGCCACGCCCGCAAGCCCCGCCCACUUUGCAGCCACGCCCACAAUCCCCGCCCACCUCUGCCCCUCAGCCACGCCCACAAGGUGCGACAUCACCCCAGCCACGCCCACAAGCCCCGCCCACCUCUGCCCCUCAGCCACGCCCACAAGGUGUGACAUCACCCCAGCCCCGCCCGCAAGCCCCGCCCACCUCCCCCCAGCCCCGCCCCCCUGGCCCACAAGCCCCGCCCACCUCCCCCCAGCCCCGCCUCCAGCGUUCGCCCUCCGUGCCCCAGCCCCGCCCACAAGCCCCGCCCACCUCCCCUCAGCCCCGCCCCCCUGGCCCACAAGCCCCGCCCACCACCCGCCAGCCCCGCCCCCAGGCCCCGCCCAUCGCCCCCAAACCGCCGCUGGCCCCCAAACCGGGCGGGGCCCCUCCCCCCCCCAGGUAAGUGGGAGGGGCUUAAGGGGGGGGAGGGGCGAGGCCCCGCCCCCCCCGGGCCCCCCUGAACCCCCAAAUUCCGCAGCCCCGCCCCCGAGCAGGGCCCCCCCGAGAGCCUCCGGGCGCUGCGGCAGAGCUUCGCCAGCCUCUUCGAGUGACCCCCAAAAAUACCCGCGGGGACCCGAAAAAUACCCGGGGGGAUCCCAGAAAUACCCACGGGACCCCAAAAAUACCCACGGGACCCCAAAAAUACCCGGGGGGACCCCAGAAAUACCCGGGGGGACCCCAAAAAUACAGGGGGCAUCCCAAAAAUACCCACGGGGACCCCAGAAAUACCCGGGGGGAAACAAAAAAUAUCCGGGGCACCUAAAAAAUACCUUCGGGACCAAAAAUCCACCCUGGGGUCCCCAAAAUCACCCCAGGACCCCCCAAAAUCCACCCUGUGGUCCCCAAAAUCACCCUGGGGUCCCCAAAAUCCACCCUGGGGCCCCAAAAUCUACCCUGGGGUCCCCAAAAUCCCCCCAGGACCCCCCAAAAUCCACCCUGGGGUUCCCAAAAUCCACCUGGGGUCCCCAAAAUCCACCCUGGGGUCCCCAAAAUCACCCCAGGACCCCCCAAAAUCCACCCUGGGGUCCCCAAAAUCUCCCCAGGACCCCCCAAAAUCCACCCUGGGGUCCCCAAAAUCCACCCUGGGGUGCCCAAAAUCCACCCUGGGGUCCCCAAAAUCCACCCUGGGGUCCCCAAAAUCUCCCCAGGAAUCCCCAAAAUCACCCCAGGACCCCCCAAAAUCCCCCCAGGGAUCCCCAAAAUCCACCCUGGGGUCCCCAAAAUCCACCCCAGGGGUCCCCAAAAUCACCCCAGGACCCCCAAAAUCCACCCUGGGGUCCCCAAAAUCCACCCUGGGGUCCCCAAAAUCACCCCAGGACCCCCCAAAAUCCACCCUGGGGUUCCCAAAAUCACCCCAGGACCCCCCAAAAUCCCCCCAGGAAUCCCCAAAAUCCCCCCGGGGAGCCCCAAAAUCCCCCCGGGGAUCCCCAAAAUCCACCCUGGGGUCCCCAAAAUCCACCCUGGGGUCCCCAAAAUCAUCCCAGGACCCCCAAAAUCCCCCCGGGGAUCCCCUCCCCCCCUCGUUCUGUGCUUGCCAAACCCCUUUCUCUCCCCCCCCCACCCCCCAAAUUUUGGGGGGGGUCUCUCCGCCUGCGCUCGUGA
Long non-coding RNA from Taeniopygia guttata (zebra finch), 2336 nucleotides. The record is from Ensembl. NCBI's taxonomy places the organism in Eukaryota, Metazoa, Chordata, Aves, Passeriformes, Estrildidae.